RNAcentral lists this ribosomal RNA (497 nucleotides) under uncultured bacterium. Its description in RNAcentral is "partial 16S ribosomal RNA". It matches the Rfam family "Bacterial small subunit ribosomal RNA", at positions 28 to 507 of the family's 1533-position model. The record is from RNAcentral.
GACGAACGCUGGCGGCGUGCCUAAUACAUGCAAGUUGAGCGCUGAAGGUUGGUACUUGUACCGACUGGAUGAGCAGCGCACGGGUGGGUAACGCGUGGGGAAUCUGCCUUUGAGCGGGGGACAACAUUUGGAAACGAAUGCUAAUACCGCAUAAAAACUUUAAACACAAGUUUUAAGUUUGAAAGAUGCAAUUGCAUCACUCAAAGAUGAUCCCGCGUUGUAUUAGCUAGUUGGUGAGGUAAAGGCUCACCAAGGCGAUGAUACAUAGCCGACCUGAGAGGGUGAUCGGCCACAUUGGGACUGGGACACGGCCCAAACUCCUACGGGAGGCAGCAGUAGGGAAUCUUCGGCCAUGGACGAAAGUCUGACCGAGCAACGCCGCGUGAGUGAAGAAGGUUUUCGGAUCGGAAAACUCUGUUGGUAGAGAAGAACGUUGGUGGGAGUGGAAAGCUCAUCAAGUGACGGUAACUACCGAGAAAGGGACGGCUAACUACGUG